The sequence is a long non-coding RNA, 595 nucleotides long. The stretch from base 85 to 466 matches the Rfam family "RNase MRP". From Rfam's summary of the family: RNase MRP is an enzymatically active ribonucleoprotein with two distinct roles in eukaryotes. In mitochondria it plays a direct role in the initiation of mitochondrial DNA replication.
UAAAGGAGAAUUGCUCGAGAGACACGGAUUCCGUGUCGGACACUGGCGCAGCUGACUGCGUUUCGGCAAACGUGCGAGCUUCUGGGAGCAGCAAGCGAGUUGCAUCAUAGCGUUCCAACGAGGGCGUGAAGAUCUUCGCUGUGAUCGUUCGUACUCUGUGCGUCGGCCACGCAGUCUUCGGCGCUCUUCACAAGCUAUGGGGAAAGUCUCCGUGCCAUGGGAUCGAGAGGAUCGAUGAGAAAUUCGUGGACGCCUCUCAGCUGUGUUGUCGCCUGAUGUGUUCUGCACGUCUCCUCUGUGACCGGCAAUCUUUUGCCUGGAGAAGAGGCAGAGCGACGGCUGGAGGUUGAUUGCAGUUGCCGCUUACAUGCGGGCUCUUCCAAGGAUUGAGUUCAUGCGACUGGCGGGACGCUCUCCUUACGGAUGGCGUUCCGCUUACAGAAUGGAGCUUACGCCUUUGCUGUUCCCAACCACCCCGAAGCAAGCGCGUGAACCGAAAUGGAUUCUGGCGAAAUAGAAGUGUAUUUGAGAAGAGCGUCACUUUUGGGUGAGUGUCAGAGCUCGGAAAUCUCUGCGCCCCUACGGUGUUUCCCGG